GGGCUGGGGCUCAAUGGCAGAGUGCUUGCCUCUCAUGUGUGAGGCACUGAGUUCAAUCCUCAGCACUACA
This 70-nucleotide transfer RNA is filed under the name Marmota monax (woodchuck). Its description in RNAcentral is "tRNA.Glu". Lineage: Eukaryota; Metazoa; Chordata; Mammalia; Rodentia; Sciuridae. The record is from RNAcentral.